AUUGAACGCUGGCGGCAGGCCUAACUCAUGCAAGUCGAGCGAGCGGCGGACGGGUGAGUAAUGAAUGGGGAUUGCCCGAUAGACGGGGAUAACUACUGGACACGGUUGCUAAUCCCGCAUACUGUCGUAUAACCCCUAUGGGAUUACAUAGUAGGUAAGGUAAUGGCUUACCUAGGCGACGAUCCCUAGCUGGUCUGAGAGGAUGAUCAGCCACACUGUGACUGAGACACGGCCCAGACUCCUACGGAGGCAGCAGUGGGGAAUAUUGCACAAUGGGCGCAAGCCUGAUGCAGCCAUGCCGCGUGUAUGAAGAAGGCCCUAGGGUUGUAAAGUACUUUCAGUCGGGAGGCGUUACCGACAGAAGAAGCACCGGCUAACUCCGUGCCAGCAGCCGCGGUAAUAC
RNAcentral lists this ribosomal RNA (403 nucleotides) under uncultured bacterium. RNAcentral's name for it is "partial 16S ribosomal RNA". It matches the Rfam family "Bacterial small subunit ribosomal RNA", at positions 30 to 526 of the family's 1533-position model. The record is from RNAcentral.